This 63-nucleotide transfer RNA is filed under the name Nierstraszella lineata. RNAcentral describes it as "tRNA-Lys". The record is from RNAcentral. Lineage: Eukaryota; Metazoa; Mollusca; Polyplacophora; Lepidopleurida; Nierstraszellidae.
CUUAAGAUGGCUGACAUAAGCAACAGCUUUUUAAUCUGUAUAUAACAUAAAUGUUUCUUAAGG